This 23-nucleotide non-coding RNA is filed under the name Arabidopsis thaliana (thale cress). The record is from RNAcentral. Lineage: Eukaryota; Viridiplantae; Streptophyta; Magnoliopsida; Brassicales; Brassicaceae.
GUGAUAUUUGUGAUACUAGUAUC